Molecule: transfer RNA, 77 nt
Filed under: Schistocerca americana (American grasshopper)
Lineage: Eukaryota; Metazoa; Arthropoda; Insecta; Orthoptera; Acrididae
Description: tRNA-Arg
Rfam family: tRNA
About the family: Transfer RNA (tRNA) molecules are approximately 80 nucleotides in length. Their secondary structure includes four short double-helical elements and three loops (D, anti-codon, and T loops).
Source: RNAcentral
GUCCCUUUGGCGCAGAGGAUAGCGCGUUGGACUUCUAAUACAAAGGUUGUGGGUUCGAUCCCCACAAGGGAGGGGCA